CCUACGGGUGGCAGCAGUGGGGAGUAUUGGACAAUGGGGGCAACCCUGAUCCAGCCAUGCCGCGUGUGUGAAGAAGGCCCUCGGGUUGUAAAGCACUUUCAGUGAGGAAGAACGCCUGGUGGUUAAUACCCAUCAGGAAAGACAUCACUCACAGAAGAAGCACCGGCUAACUCCGUGCCAGCAGCCGCGGUAAUACGGAGGGUGCGAGCGUUAAUCGGAAUUACUGGGCGUAAAGCGCGCGUAGGUGGCUUGAUAAGCCGGUUGUGAAAGCCCCGGGCUCAACCUGGGAACGGCAUCCGGAACUGUCAAGCUAGAGUGCAGGAGAGGAAGGUAGAAUUCCCGGUGUAGCGGUGAAAUGCGUAGAGAUCGGGAGGAAUACCAGUGGCGAAGGCGGCCUUCUGGACUGACACUGACACUGAGGUGCGAAAGCGUGGGUAGCAAACAGGAUUAGAUACCCUAGUAGUC
RNAcentral lists this ribosomal RNA (465 nucleotides) under Vreelandella stevensii. Its description in RNAcentral is "partial 16S ribosomal RNA". It matches the Rfam family "Bacterial small subunit ribosomal RNA", at positions 338 to 795 of the family's 1533-position model. The record is from RNAcentral. Lineage: Bacteria; Pseudomonadati; Pseudomonadota; Gammaproteobacteria; Oceanospirillales; Halomonadaceae.